This is a long non-coding RNA of Brassica napus (rape), 1487 nucleotides long. RefSeq lists it as uncharacterized. The record is from RefSeq and is a predicted model, not a curated record. NCBI's taxonomy places the organism in Eukaryota, Viridiplantae, Streptophyta, Magnoliopsida, Brassicales, Brassicaceae. The transcript is spliced from 5 exons.
UAUUGCAAGUUAAAACGCUAUUUUUACCGAGGCGAAAAAUGAUUGAUUUUUUUUAACCCUCAUAUCAUUUUUCCUCUCACUUUAUUUAAUUUGCCUCCAAAAUCAUAAACAUUACAUUUAUACUUUAAAUAUUUACAUAUAAAAAAAGAAAAUUUUUUAUUGGUUGAAAGUAACACACAAGGAUUACAAUCUCUACCCUUAAUUGUUUUUAAUCCAAGGGUGGAGAUUGUGUUUUGUCCUCUCCUUUUGUCUUCUGAAACACGACAGAGAGAAGAGAAAAGAGAGAUGAGAGAUUGCAGGAGGAGGAAGAAGGGACCAGCCUGAGUUCGUCGCCAUCGUCACCGGUCUGAGUUCGUCGCCAUCGUCACGAGUCUGAGUUCGUCGCCAUCGUCACCUAUCUUUACUCAUCGUCACUUUGUUCUUCUGGAAUCCAUACUCCUCCUGAGAACGCCUCUCUCCCCUCUGCAGAGCCAAAUCCGAACCCAACCACCUGAGCUCAUGGUUCAAUCUCCUCCUCAAAACCCUCGCGUUACUCAAUCUCCUCUCAUGUUUGCUCCUCAGCCGCCGACGCAGUCGUCUCUCCACCUUAUCAGUGAGAAAGCUCGAACCUCUUUGUUGUUUACCGAUUCUCCUCCGGUCAAUUAGAAUGAAUCUUCGGAUGCUCUGACUGAUCCAUCCGGUCAAACGGUCUCUAUCUCUAUUUCCUUGUGCAGAGAAGGAGAAAAUCGUUUCUUCUUCUUCUUCUUCAGCUUAUCCGAAACAAGACAUGUUUCUUUUUCUCAAUCCUCGAGGCCAAUAUGAUUUCACCAAAACACAUCUCCAGCAAGUGCUCAAGUGGUAGAGUAAAGAGCUACCAGACAUGAACUACGCUUCAAACACUCGGAAGCGAUCUACUUUCCUUGAGAGAUGCGUCUCUAAACGGUGCUUUAGCUGUUAGCUCUGAUGGUCGUUACUUGGCGACUAGAGGAGUUGAUCACCAUGUUCAUAUAUGGGACGUUCAUACCAGAGAACAUGUCCAUGUUCAUAUAAAGUCCAAUUUUUGUUUUUUGGUUUCUUCCGUCAAGUCUCAGCUUUUUAUGAUUAUGUGUCUACAGGCCUUUACAGGUCACAAGAACACUAUUUCUUCCCUAUGAUUCAGACACGGAACCGCGGAGCUCUACUCUGGUUCAUUUGAUCGAAGUGUCAAGGAGUGCACUUACGGUUGGGAGAGAUAGAAUCAUGUAGUUACACAAGGAGAAGGCUCCCUAUGUAGCUAAGGCUAAUGAGUCGCAAGGUUGAGUAUGAGAAGACGAGAAACUCUGAGUUGCACGAGUCAUUCACAAGAAGAAGAGGAGGAGAAGAAGAAGAAAAAGCUUCGGUGUUUCCUAAGAAUGACGGCUGUGGCUGCAGUCUAAUGUUUACGGUUUAGACUUUUGGUUAAGUUUUGGUUUAGGUUUUAGUUAUUUUGUAAACAUUUUCUAUAUAUAUAAAAUUUUAAAAUAUUUUUA